RNAcentral lists this ribosomal RNA (456 nucleotides) under uncultured bacterium. RNAcentral describes it as "bacterial SSU rRNA". It matches the Rfam family "Bacterial small subunit ribosomal RNA", at positions 29 to 524 of the family's 1533-position model. The record is from RNAcentral.
AACGAACGCUGGCGGCAUGCCUAACACAUGCAAGUCGAACGGGAUCCUAGCUUGCUAGGUGAGAGUGGCGGACGGGUGAGUAACACGUGGGAAUCUGCCUUUUGGUUCGGGAUAACCGCGGGAAACUGCGGCUAAUACCGAAUGCCCUCGAGAGAGGAAAGAUUUAUCGCCAGAAGAGGAGCCCGCGUCCGAUUAGGUAGUUGGUGGGGUAAAGGCCUACCAAGCCGACGAUCGGUAGCUGGUCUGAGAGGAUGAUCAGCCACACUGGGACUGAGAUACGGCCCAGACUCCUACGGGAGGCAGCAGUGGGAAUAUUGGACAAUGGGGCAACCCUGAUCCAGCAAUGCCGCGUGAGUGAUGAAGGCCUUAGGGUUGUAAAGCUCUUUUGCCAGGGAAGAUGAUGACUGUACCUGGAGAAUAAGCCCCGGCUAACUUCGUGCCAGCAGCCGCGGUAAU